This 263-nucleotide ribosomal RNA is filed under the name uncultured bacterium. RNAcentral describes it as "partial 16S ribosomal RNA". It matches the Rfam family "Bacterial small subunit ribosomal RNA", at positions 524 to 786 of the family's 1533-position model. The record is from RNAcentral.
UACAGAGGGUGCAAGCGUUAAUCGGAAUUACUGGGCGUAAAGCGCGCGUAGGUGGUUCAGUAAGAUGGAAGUGAAAUCCCCGGGCUUAACCUGGGAACUGCUUUCAUAACUGCUGAGCUAGAGUACGGUAGAGGGUAGUGGAAUUUCCUGUGUAGCGGUGAAAUGCGUAGAUAUAGGAAGGAACACCAGUGGCGAAGGCGACUACCUGGACUGAUACUGACACUGAGGUGCGAAAGCGUGGGGAGCAAACAGGAUUAGAUACC